AGAAGCUCUCAAGUUCCUCUACAGGGGAUGCUUGAGGCUCAUGUUCCAUUAUGCGGGGGUCGAGUUCAUCAACGAUUAACGCCUCCUGAAUAGGCGGUGCGUCAAUCAUAUCAACAUCUUCCUGGCCGGCGGGAGCGUCACCUGGGACAUCCGCCAUGACCACAUCAGCCAUGAUCACGUGGACGUCCCGGGGCUCUACCUUCUUAAUGGAGCUCAGAUAGCACUCUCGCGAACCUCUCUGGUCGCCCUUCACCGUUG
RNAcentral lists this long non-coding RNA (258 nucleotides) under Olea europaea (common olive). RNAcentral's name for it is "long non-coding RNA (OEUR_LNC005276)". Lineage: Eukaryota; Viridiplantae; Streptophyta; Magnoliopsida; Lamiales; Oleaceae. The record is from RNAcentral.